RNAcentral lists this ribosomal RNA (469 nucleotides) under uncultured Curtobacterium sp. Its description in RNAcentral is "bacterial SSU rRNA". It matches the Rfam family "Bacterial small subunit ribosomal RNA", at positions 912 to 1382 of the family's 1533-position model. The record is from RNAcentral. Lineage: Bacteria; Bacillati; Actinomycetota; Actinomycetes; Micrococcales; Microbacteriaceae.
GACGGGGGCCCGCACAAGCGGCGGAGCAUGCGGAUUAAUUCGAUGCAACGCGAAGAACCUUACCAAGGCUUGACAUACACCGGUAACGCCCAGAGAUGGGUGCCCCUUUGUGGUCGGUGUACAGGUGGUGCAUGGUUGUCGUCAGCUCGUGUCGUGAGAUGUUGGGUUAAGUCCCGCAACGAGCGCAACCCUCGUCCUAUGUUGCCAGCGGGUCAUGCCGGGGACUCAUGGGAGACUGCCGGGGUCAACUCGGAGGAAGGUGGGGAUGACGUCAAAUCAUCAUGCCCCUUAUGUCUUGGGCUUCACGCAUGCUACAAUGGCCGGUACAAAGGGCUGCGAUACCGCGAGGUGGAGCGAAUCCCAGAAAGCCGGUCUCAGUUCGGAUUGGGGUCUGCAACUCGACCCCAUGAAGUCGGAGUCGCUAGUAAUCGCGGAUCAGCAUGCCGCGGUGAAUACGUUCCCGGGCCUU